GGCUUCGCAGGAAGGCGACCGGCGCAUGCGCUAUUGCUGGGGAGCGGCGCGCUCGCAACCGCGCGCGGUGACGCGCCUGGCGCGGGCCUUCCCCACUACUACCCUCGCCUGAGGACUCUUCGGCCCACUUUCAAGUGUGGUGGUCUCAGUGUGAGGUUUCCAGCUCACCUUCCCAGAAUCCCCAGAGAGCCGACUGAAAAGGCAGUGACUCUUCUUGCCUGUUCACUCGAUGCCAGCCCCUGUAUGCCAGCUGUUGUGCUGUACUACUGUACUUUUCAAGGGAGGAAGAAUUUGACUUGAAAAAACCACAAGGGCCCCUAAAAAUAACUGUGGAAGAAUUGGGGGGACCAUAUUAGAAUUUGAAUAAUCACAUGAAGGGGAGGCAAGAAGUAGGAGCUGGUAAAAAGAUACUGAAUUGAACUUGAGAGGCCUGACCAAUCUAAGCUGGACUGAAGAGACUAGACUGAAUGAGAUGAGUUUUGCCUCCUUCACAACUAAUUCUACAUCUUAAUUUUCCCUUUACCUAAAAUGUCAGUGAAGAAAACACAUGACAGCUUCUCAGCAUCACUCCUGUGCAACAUUUUUAACCAUUUCCUCAGCCUUGCAGCUGUUUGGAAAACUGUACCUUCGGUAUGUAUAAAUACACACUUGAACUUUAUAAUGAGCAUGGUCAUACUUCCUUUCUCGAUCAUAUAUACUAAUGUGAAAUUAUAACUAUAGUCUAAGUAGUUUAUGGUAUUUAAUUUUUAUACAAAGAGGAAGUGUAUAACUGCAUUUAAAAGAUGAAAUUUUAUAUAUCUGCAUAGUCCUCACAAAAUUAUUUUGGCAUUCAACAGUGAUGAUGUUGCAUAUGGUUAAAAUGCUCUAAAACCUCUACCAGUGUAUUGCUUAUUCAUGCUGUUAAACUACAAAUGUUAUGAUGAGAAAAGUAAACUCAAGUAAAUGCAUGCAAAACUAAAUAAUUCUGAAUCCCAGACGUCCAUGUCAUUGAAACAUUGCAAAAAGGAAAAUAAUUUCUGAAUAGCUAGUAGAAAUAACAUUAUAGCCUAGCUAAGUUCUGCAUUUAUAUUUUCACAACCAGUUUCUUCUAUCUUUAUGUAGUUUAAAAUUAUUAUCUUCCUUUAUGAAUGUGUUUAUAUAGCUUUUUCCAACACUGUUUAUUUAACAUUGCUUAAAUCCUGUGUACUAAAACAACUAAUUUUACUGUUCCUAGCUAUACAGAUGGUCCCCAACUUAUGAUGGUUCCACUUACAAUUUUUGACUUUAUGGUGGUGUGAAAGUGAUCCAAAUUCAAUAGAAAUGGUACUUCAGAUUUUGAAUUUUGAUU
This is a non-coding RNA of Kogia breviceps (pygmy sperm whale), 1327 nucleotides long. Lineage: Eukaryota; Metazoa; Chordata; Mammalia; Artiodactyla; Physeteridae. The record is from RefSeq and is a predicted model, not a curated record.